AUUGAACGCUGGCGGCAGGCCUAACACAUGCAAGUCGAACGAGUGGCGGACGGGUGAGUAAUGUCUGGGAAACUGCCUGAUGGAGGGGGAUAACUACUGGAAACGGUAGCUAAUACCGCAUACCAUCGGAUGUGCCCAGAUGGGAUUAGCUUGUUGGUGGGGUAAAGGCUCACCAAGGCGACGAUCCCUAACUGGUCUGAGAGGAUGAUCAGUCACACUGGAACUGAGACACGGUCCAGACUCCUACGGGAGGCAGCAGUGGGGAAUAUUGCACAAUGGGCGAAAGCCUGAUGCAGCCAUGCCGCGUGUAUGAAGAAGGCCUUCGGGUUGUAAAGUACUUUAAGCUGGGAGGCGUUACCAACAGAAGAAGCACCGGCUAACUCCGUGCCAGCAGCCGCGGUAAUAC
Molecule: ribosomal RNA, 406 nt
Filed under: uncultured bacterium
Lineage: Bacteria
Description: partial 16S ribosomal RNA
Rfam family: Bacterial small subunit ribosomal RNA
Source: RNAcentral